RNAcentral lists this ribosomal RNA (460 nucleotides) under uncultured bacterium. RNAcentral's name for it is "partial 16S ribosomal RNA". It matches the Rfam family "Bacterial small subunit ribosomal RNA", at positions 338 to 795 of the family's 1533-position model. The record is from RNAcentral.
CCUACGGGAGGCAGCAGUGAGGAAUAUUGGUCAAUGGACGGAAGUCUGAACCAGCCAUGCCGCGUGCAGGAAGACGGCUCUAUGAGUUGUAAACUGCUUUUGUACAAGGGUAAACCUGAAUACGUGUAUUCAGCUGAAAGUACUGUACGCAUAAGGAUCGCCUAACUCCGUGCCAGCAGCCGCGGUAAUACGGAGGAUCCAAGCGUUAACCGGAUUUAUUUGGAUUAAAGGGUGCGUAGGCGGAUUGAUAAGUUAGAGGUGAAAUGUCCGAGCGUAACUCGGGAACUGCCUCUAAUACUGUUGAUCUAGAGAGUAGAUGCGGUAGGCGGAAUGUAUGGUGGAGCGGUGAAAUGCUUAGAGAUGAUACAGAACACCGAUGGCGAAGGCAGCUUACCAAUCUAUAUCUGACGUUGAGGCACGAAAGCGUGGGGAGCAAACAGGAUUAGAUACCCCUGUAGUC